ACUCCUACGGGAGGCAGCAGUGGGGAAUAUUGCACAAUGGGCGCAAGCCUGAUGCAGCCAUGCCGCGUGUAUGAAGAAGGCCUUCGGGUUGUAAAGUACUUUCAGCAGUGAGGAAGGUGGGUAUGUUAAUAGCAUACUCAUUUGACGUUAGCUGCAGAAGAAGCACCGGCUAACUCCGUGCCAGCAGCCGCGGUAAUACGGAGGGUGCGAGCGUUAAUCGGAAUUACUGGGCGUAAAGCGCAUGCAGGUGGUUUGUUAAGUCAGAUGUGAAAGCCCGGGGCUCAACCUCGGAAUUGCAUUUGAAACUGGCAAACUAGAGUACUGUAGAGGGGGGUAGAAUUUCAGGUGUAGCGGUGAAAUGCGUAGAGAUCUGAAGGAAUACCGGUGGCGAAGGCGGCCCCCUGGACAGAUACUGACACUCAGAUGCGAAAAGCGUGGGGAGCAAACAGGAUUAGAUACCCUGGUAGGCUCUAGC
This 475-nucleotide ribosomal RNA is filed under the name uncultured bacterium. RNAcentral describes it as "bacterial SSU rRNA". It matches the Rfam family "Bacterial small subunit ribosomal RNA", at positions 335 to 800 of the family's 1533-position model. The record is from RNAcentral.